Molecule: long non-coding RNA, 1576 nt
Filed under: Homo sapiens (human)
Lineage: Eukaryota; Metazoa; Chordata; Mammalia; Primates; Hominidae
Description: HSALNT0002518
Source: RNAcentral
AGACAUGUCUUACAUGGCAGCAGGUAAGAGAGAGAAUGAGAGACAAGUGAAAGGGGUUUCCCCUUACAAAACUGUCAGAUCUUGUGAGAGUUAGUCACUGCCGUGAGAACAGUAUGGGGGAACUGCCCCCAAGGUUCAAUUGUCUCCCACUGGGUUUCUCCCCCAGCACGUUGGAAUUAUGGGAGCUACAAUUCAAGAUGAGAUUUGGGUGGGGACGCAGCCAAAUCCUAUCACCUACCUUACUGGGUUGUUUCUGAAUCCUGGUGAAUUAACUUCAGUGGAGUGUUUAGACAGGCGCCUGCCACAAUCUUGAGCCCUUCAGGGGCUGAGGUUGAAUCUGGUACAACAUCUCUGCCUGUAUCUGGUGCCCAGCCUAGAAGCUGGUGUAGAUGAGGGGCCAGGAAAGGGAUGGAGGAUCCUGCAGCAUGGCCUGGGAAUUCAGGACUUCAACGACAAUGAAGAAGAAAUACUGCCAAGAGCUGAGGUACCACUGGCAUCACUUGGGCCUGUGCCAUUCUGCCCACAUCCCCUUGGAAGUACAGAAUGGAGUACAGAAUCCCCCUCCUAUCUGGACUAGGCAGGGAGUUGAGGUGUGAUGAGGCCUUGCCAGCCGCUCUUCAUGGUGGGAAUACAUUCAAAUCCAGCCUCACCUGGAUAUCCCCCAGUAUGAUGAGAAGAAUGGCCUGAACUGACCACAGCAGCAGACUCUGGGCUGGCUGGACAGUAAACAAGGGAAGACUGAGUUCUCUCCAUCCCACUCUUUCCAGUGAAGGAGCUGCACUGAAGCUCAGCUCCCCAUAGGACUGAAUACUUUCUCUUCUUGGUAAAGAGGCUACAAUAUCUCCUGAGCACUGAAGUCUCCAAGUACUGGACAGCUGGUAUUCCUAGGAAACUCCUGCAGGAUGCUAGUCCCUUGUAUCCAGUCACUCUGUGCCAAGAGGUCCGUUGUAUCCCCCAUGGAUAAAGUUGCUCUCAAAAUGGCACUUUCUAAAGUGGCAAGAGGGAGGAUCUCUCCACUGGAAUGGCAGACCCACCUUUACCUAUUCAAAGUGGUAUGGAAUUGUUCUAAACUCUGGUGCACAGCAGGCAGAGGCCAGAAGGGCUCUACCUUGCAGGAUCCUCCUAGCCCUGAGUCCCCAGUGCUCACAGGAUGAAGUUUGAGAUCCUUAGCCUGUCUCCCCAGUGCCUCCAUGAUCUGGCCUUGGCUAUUUCUCUGGCUCCCUGCACCCCUCCUUGCCCAUUUACUUAUAAUUCCUGAAUAUGCAUGCUGUUUUAGGUCUCUGAGGUUUUGCACAUGCUUGUCUUCUCGUCUAGAAUGUCUUUCUUCCAUCUUUCUCCUUGAUCCUGUACAGAGGAGAACUUCUAUUCAUCCUUCAAAAUGCCAUUAAAGUAUCACCUCCUCUCUGAAGGCCUCCUGGAUUCUUAUCACCUUUAUUCCAAGAUAUAUAUGAGUACGAGUUAAGAAAAAAUGGAUUCGUUUUAGCUCUUCAUUCUCCUUCCCCACUUCCAGGGAGGAGAGGCCAUUAUUAUUUAUUUCUUAUUAGAAAGACAAGAUGGAAGAAAGGAAGGAAGGAAA